UCACACCCUUGCUCCUGACACUGGUGGAGCUGCAGGUCGUGAGGGCUGCCAUCCGAGAGUCCCUGCCUGGGGAGUCUGGCCCACUGAGCCUAGUCUGCCAUGGUGGAGAGCCUGGCCAUGACUCCGUGCUGCAGCGGCUCCUGAGGGAGGGGAUCUGUGAGCCCCACAGCCUUGGUAGCCGGGGGUGAAGAUGUCAUGCAUGGGUCAAGCUUGCUGUGCGGAGCUGUGGAGUCUGCUGGA
RNAcentral lists this long non-coding RNA (240 nucleotides) under Homo sapiens (human). Its description in RNAcentral is "HSALNT0039573". Lineage: Eukaryota; Metazoa; Chordata; Mammalia; Primates; Hominidae. The record is from RNAcentral.